GACGAACGCUGGCGGCGUGCCUAAUACAUGCAAGUUGAGCGAUGAAGCUUGGUGCUUGCACCAAUUUGAAGAGCAGCGAACGGGUGAGUAACGCGUGGGGAAUCUGCCUUUGAGCGGGGGACAACAUUUGGAAACGAAUGCUAAUACCGCAUAACAACUUUAAACAUAAGUUUUAAGUUUGAAAGAUGCAAUUGCAUCACUCAAAGAUGAUCCCGCGUUGUAUUAGCUAGUUGGUGAGGUAAAGGCUCACCAAGGCGAUGAUACAUAGCCGACCUGAGAGGGUGAUCGGCCACAUUGGGACUGAGACACGGCCCAGACUCCUACGGGAGGCAGCAGUAGGGAAUCUUCGGCAAUGGACGAAAGUCUGACCGAGCAACGCCGCGUGAGUGAAGAAGGUUUUCGGAUCGUAAAACUCGGUUGGUAGAGAAGAACGUUGGUGAGAGUGGAAAGCUCAUCAAGUGACGGUAACUACCCAGAAAGGGACGGCUAACUACGUG
Molecule: ribosomal RNA, 497 nt
Filed under: uncultured bacterium
Lineage: Bacteria
Description: partial 16S ribosomal RNA
Rfam family: Bacterial small subunit ribosomal RNA
Source: RNAcentral